This is an RNA transcript of Equus quagga, 4694 nucleotides long. It is a transcript of the gene named cyclin and CBS domain divalent metal cation transport mediator 3, with no coding region annotated. The record is from RefSeq and is a predicted model, not a curated record. The transcript has 9 exons. Lineage: Eukaryota; Metazoa; Chordata; Mammalia; Perissodactyla; Equidae.
GAGGCGCCCAGGCUGGCGACGAUUGGCUGGGGGAGGCGGAGGGGUAGGUUGCACGGGAGGCCGAGAGGGGGCAGCAGGCGAUGGCGGCGGCGGGUCUGCUAGGCUGGUUGCUCGCUGCGUUCUGCCUGGGCAACGCCGACGGGGAGGCGGCGCCGGGCCCGCGAGUGCUGGGUGUCUGUCUGGAGGAGGACGGAGCCGCGGGCGUGGGGUGGGCGAGCGGAGAGGAGGUGCAGGCCGCGCCCGAGGCCACCUUCCGCCUGCGCCUCUUCGGCUCGGGCUUUGCCAACAGCUCCUGGUCCUGGGUGGCCCCCGAGGGGGCGGGCUGCCCCGAGGGCGGGCCGGCCGCGGCGCCCGAGGAGGCAGCAGCGGUCCCCACGGGCGAGUGGCGCGCGCUGCUGCGCCUGCGCGCCGAGCCCGUGCGCCAGCACUCGGCGCUGCUGGCUGUGCGUGGGGGGCCGGGCAGCGCGGCAGCCCAGGAGGCGGCGGCCCCCACGGGCGAGUGGCGCGCGCUGCUGCGCCUGCGCGCCGAGGUCGUGCGCCCGCACUCGGCGCUGCUGGCGGUGCGCGUGGAGCCGGGCGGCGCGGCGGGCGAGGAGGCGGCACCACCCUGGGCGCUGGGGCUGGGGGCGGUGGGCCUGCUGGCGCUGGCGGCGCUGGCGCGGGGCUUGCAGCUGAGCGCGCUGGCGCUGGUACCGGCCGAGGUGCAGGUGCUGCGCGAGAGCGGCUCGGAGGCUGAGCGUGCGGCGGCGCGGCGCCUGGAGCCGGUGCGGCGCUGGGCCGGCUGCGCCCUGGGCGCGCUGCUGCUGCUGGCCAGCCUGGCGCAGGCGGCGCUGGCCGUGCUGCUGUACCGCGCAGCCGGCCAGCGCGCCGUGCCCGCUGUGCUGGGCAGCGCGGGGCUCGUGUUCCUGGUGGGCGAGGUGGUGCCGGCCGCCGUGAGCGGGCGCUGGGCGUUGGCGCUGGCGCCGCGCGCGCUGGUUCUCAGCCGCCUGGCGGUGUUGCUCACCCUGCCGGUGGCGCUGCCCGUGGGGCAGCUGCUGGAGCUGGCGGCGCGGCCCGGGCGGCUGCGUGAGCGCGUGCUGGAGCUGGCGCGCGGCGGCGGCGACCCCUACAGCGACCUCAGCAAGGGGGUGCUGCGCUGCCGGACGGUGGAAGACGUUCUCACGCCGCUCGAGGACUGCUUCAUGCUGGACGCCAGCGCCGUGCUGGACUUCGGUGUCCUGGCCAGCAUCAUGCAGAGCGGCCACACGCGCAUCCCCGUGUACGAGGAGGAGCGCUCCAACAUCGUAGACAUGCUCUACCUCAAGGACUUGGCUUUCGUGGACCCCGAAGACUGCACGCCGCUCAGCACCAUCACCCGCUUCUACAAUCACCCACUCCACUUCGUCUUCAACGACACCAAGCUGGACGCCGUCCUGGAGGAGUUCAAGCGAGGGAAGUCCCACCUGGCCAUCGUGCAGAAGGUGAACAAUGAGGGCGAAGGUGACCCCUUCUACGAGGUGCUGGGCCUCGUCACCCUGGAGGACGUCAUUGAGGAGAUCAUCAAGUCGGAGAUCCUGGAUGAGUCUGAAGACUACCGAGACGCCGCGGUGAGGAAGAAGCAUACUUAUCUGAGUGCCCCUCUCAGGCGGAAAGAGGAAUUCUCCCUGUUCAAGGUGUCUGAUGAGGACUAUAAAGUGAAGAUCUCGCCCCAGCUGCUCUUGGCCACCCAGCGCUUCCUUUCCCGAGAGGUGGAUGUAUUCAGCCCACUGCGAAUCUCCGAGAAGGUCCUGCUGCACCUGCUGAAGCAUCCCAGCGUCAACCAGGAAGUGAGGUUUGACGAGAGCAACCGCCUGGCUGCACACCAUUACCUGUACCAGCGCAGCCAGCCGGUGGAUUAUUUCAUUCUCAUCCUGCAGGGCAGGGUUGAGGUGGAGAUCGGGAAAGAGGGCCUGAAGUUCGAGAACGGGGCCUUCACCUACUAUGGAGUGUCUGCCCUGACGGCGCCAUCCUCGGUUCACCAGUCCCCCGUGUCCUCGCUCCAGUCCAUCCGCCAUGACCUGCAGCCUGAGCCAGCCGACAGCACACGCCUGUCUGCGUAUUGUCCUGACUACACCGUGAGGGCCCUCUCUGACCUGCAGUUCAUCAAGGUCACACGGCUGCAGUACCUCAAUGCGCUCCUGGCUACUCGAGCCCAGAACCUGCCACCGUCCCCUGAGAACACGGACCUCCAGGUCACCCCAGGCAGCCAGACCAGGCUACUCAGUGACAAGACAGCCCCAGCAGCAGCCUUCCCAAUAGACCUUUCCCUCUUUGGCACAUUUGGAAACUGCAGUUGAUAAUUGACUGUGGACUAGUGAGCAUUUUUUGUUUUAAGAAAACACCCAAGGGUCCACCCACAGCAGACCCGGCCUCCCAGCUGAGGAGAGCCCUGGGCGGAACCCAGGAGUUUAACUGCUUGCCAGGAGCCCCAGGUCUGGGGAAUGGACAAGCAUGUGGGGACCUGGAGAGAGCCGAGGAGUUGCUUCCUGCCAGCCUGUCCCCAUCCCCUCCAGGCCACGUUUUAGAUGGCCCUUAUCGAUGCGGGUCCUGGGCUCUCCUCAGCACAGACGUCAGUGCCAAGAGCCUUCAGCAGGUCCUGCCGUCUUUAGGAAAUGGGGGUCAGCUGGGGCACAGCCCUGCAGGCCUGCUUCGGAGGGAAUGAAAAAGCAGAGUCAUCUCGAGGCCCCGGGCCCAGCCUUCUCCCUGUGACAGUGCAGCAUAUUCAUACCUCUUCAGGCCAAGCCGUGAUGUGUGCGCACGGUUACUCCUUUAUGUGGCCGUGACCUGUACUCACUUUGCUUUUAAUUUGCCAACUUUCUGCUGCUGGCAGCACUUUUUGAGCAAACCGAGAGCACCAGUUUUGGCUGGGGGUUCAAAUCCAUGGCCUUGGCCAUAGUGAACUGUUUGGCUUUCCUUACAUUGCCGUGUUUCAAGUGUGUGCCCCAGCGUGUCCCAUGUGCCAAACCUAGAAGCACCAUUACCCACAAGUCUGUCCCCUGGUCCCGCUCCCUCCUGUGGAGGCUGCUUUUCUGACCCAUUCCAGAGCCCUGAGUGCGCGAGCUGGCCCCCAAGGGGACUGAGGAGGCCUGCUCUUUCUGUUUCUCCUCCGCCUGCGGGCUUGGUUGCCACUAACAGUAUUGUCAUUGUACUGUCAUUGUUUUAAGAAGAGGUCACAGGUGGGAGGAAGGGGUCUUUCUGCUGCACCUGAUCCUGUCUUCGUUGCUGGAUCCCAGGGAGAGUAACUGUUAGACCAACCUCGUCCCUUCCUCCCGGGCCUCCGAGGGGUCUGCGUGGCUGUCACGUGCGUGCAGAGCAGCAGGGGAGGGGAGUGUGGUUAUGGACCAGGUGGAUCCCCACCAACUUUCUUUUAAAAAGCCGUGAAAUCAAAGUUUUCUUCUAUCUCUGAAACCUUUAGGACUCUGCUUUUUUCCUAUUCCUAGCUACGGGGCUUUAGAGAAGUGGGAACAAGAAGGCGUUUGUCUUUCCCUCCUGGUUUCCCUGUGUUUACCUUCCACAGUUCUUCGGCUGUGCAGAAACUGGGGCGGCACAGGGACUGAGGACCGUAGAUCGGACAGGGCGGGGUGAGAUUUCUGGAACCCUUCUCAAAGGAAGUUGGGUCCUUAUCUGGGACCAGUGGGAAUGAAGGCCAGAGAACAUGGUAUGCUCACUCAGAAGUUGUUCUCAAGGAAUUCUCUCCAAGAGCAAACCCAGGUGGGAAACGGAGACGGUAAAAUCUCUCUGCACCAUGCUGGUUCAUAACCUUAGCUGCACGUUGGAAUCGUGGCAAAUGAAAAUAACUGAUACCUGGGGCCCAUCCCCCCCAGGAUUCUGAUUCAAUCAGUCUGGGCAUCAGGACUUUAUUUUUUGAAAUAGUUUUGGAUUCACAGAAGAGUCCAUGUGCCCUUCAGCCAGCUUCCCCUAAAGUUGACGUCUUAUAUGACUUUGGUACCUUUAUCAAAACUAAAAAAUUAACAUUGGUACAAAACUAGUAACUAAAUUACAGACUUUGUUUGGAUUUUACCGGUUUUCCCAAUAAUGUCCUUUUUCUGUUGCAGGAUCCAAUCCAGGAUACCAAGUCGCAGUUAGAGCUGAUGCUUUUUUCUUUUCAUAACUAACUUUUUAUUUUGAAAUCAUUACGGAUUCAUAGGAAGUUGCAAGGAUAGAGGUCUCAUGUACCCUUCACGCAGUUUUCCUCAGAGGUUCCAUCUUAUGUAGUUAUAAUACAGUAUCGAGCCAGGAAUUGGACACUGGUGCAAUGUGGGUGUAUAGUUAUAUAUCAUCUUAGCACGUGUAGAUUUGUGUAACCGCCACUGCAAUCUAGAUACAGAGCUGUCCCGUCACCACAAGGCUCUCCCUCCGACUACCCCUUGAGAGCUGCCCCCACCCCUCUGCCACCAUCCCCAGUCCCUGGCAACCACUGAUCUGGUCGUCAUCUCUAUAAUUGUGUCAUUUCAAGAAUGUUGUAUAAAUGGGAUCGUAUAGUAUGUGACCUUUUGGGAUUGGCUUUUUUCACUCGGCAAAUAGUCUGGAGAUUCAGCCAGGUUGUUGCGUGUGUUAACAGUUCGUUCCUUUUGAUUGCUGUGUAGAAUUCCAUGGUAUACUCGUUGUCCUGUUUAAGGACGUCUGGGUGGUUUCCAGUUUUUGGCUAUUCCAAAUAAAGCUGCUAUGAACAUUCA